RNAcentral lists this ribosomal RNA (431 nucleotides) under uncultured bacterium. RNAcentral's name for it is "partial 16S ribosomal RNA". It matches the Rfam family "Bacterial small subunit ribosomal RNA", at positions 29 to 507 of the family's 1533-position model. The record is from RNAcentral.
AACGAACGCUGGCGGCAGGCCUAACACAUGCAAGUCGAGCGCCCUUUCGGGGGAGCGGCGGACGGGUGAGUAACGCGUGAGAAUAUGCCCUUCUCUACGGAAUAGCCUCGGGAAACUGAGAGUAAUACCGUAUACGCCCUGUGGGGGAAAGAUUUAUCGGGGAAGGAUUAGCCCGCGUUGGAUUAGGUAGUUGGUGGGGUAAUGGCCUACCAAGCCGACGAUCCAUAGCUGGUUUGAGAGGAUGAUCAGCCACACUGGGACUGAGACACGGCCCAGACUCCUACGGGAGGCAGCAGUGGGGAAUCUUAGACAAUGGGGGCAACCCUGAUCGAGCCAUGCCGCGUGAGUGAUGAAGGCCUUAGGGUUGUAAAGCUCUUUAAGCUGGGAAGAUAAUGACGGUACCAGCAGAAGAAGCCCCGGCUAACUCCGUG